GUGGCGUAUAGCGCACGCAGGCGGUCUGUCCGUCGGAUNGUGAAUCCCCGGGCUCAACCUGGGAACUGCAUUCCAAACUGGCAGGCUAAAGUCUUGGAAAGGGGGGUAGAAUUCCCGGUGUAGCGGUGAAAUGCGUAAAGAUCUGGAGGAAUACCGGUGGCGAAGGCGGCCCCCUGGACCAAGACUGACGCUCAGGUGCGAAAGCGUGGGGAGCAAACAGGAUUAAAUACCCUGGUAGUCCACGCCCGUAACGAUGUCGACCUUGAAGGUGUGCCCCUGAGGCGUGGCUUUCGGAGCUAACGCGUUAAGUCGAACGGCUGGGGAGUACGGCCGCAAGGUUA
This 341-nucleotide ribosomal RNA is filed under the name Enterobacter sp. SR-C20. RNAcentral's name for it is "bacterial SSU rRNA". It matches the Rfam family "Bacterial small subunit ribosomal RNA", at positions 555 to 896 of the family's 1533-position model. Lineage: Bacteria; Pseudomonadati; Pseudomonadota; Gammaproteobacteria; Enterobacterales; Enterobacteriaceae. The record is from RNAcentral.